This 490-nucleotide ribosomal RNA is filed under the name uncultured bacterium. Its description in RNAcentral is "partial 16S ribosomal RNA". It matches the Rfam family "Bacterial small subunit ribosomal RNA", at positions 29 to 507 of the family's 1533-position model. The record is from RNAcentral.
GUGCACGCUGGCGGUAGGCCUAACCCAUGCCAGUCGAACGGCAGCACAGUAAGAGCUUGCUCUUACGGGUGGCGAGUGGCGGACGGGUGAGGAAUACAUCGGAAUCUACUUUUUCGUGGGGGAUAACGUAGGGAAACUUACGCUAAUACCGCAUACGACCUACGGGUGAAAGCAGGGGAUCUUCGGACCUUGCGCGAUUGAAUGAGCCGAUGUCGGAUUAGCUAGUUGGCGGGGUAAAGCCCACCAAGGCGACGAUCCGUAGCUGGUCUGAGAGGAUGAUCAGCCACACUGGAACUGAGACACGGUCCAGACUCCUACGGGAGGCAGCAGUGGGGAAUAUUGGACAAUGGGCGCAAGCCUGAUCCAGCCAUACCGCGUGGGUGAAGAAGGCCUUCGGGUUGUAAAGCCCUUUUGUUGGGAAAGAAAAGCAGCAGGUUAAUACCCCGCUGUUCUGACGGUACCCAAAGAAUAAGCACCGGCUAACUUCGUG